RNAcentral lists this ribosomal RNA (327 nucleotides) under uncultured eukaryote. RNAcentral describes it as "partial 18S ribosomal RNA". It matches the Rfam family "Eukaryotic small subunit ribosomal RNA", at positions 1470 to 1796 of the family's 1831-position model. The record is from RNAcentral.
CCCUUAGAUGUUCUGGGCCGCACACGCGCUACACUGAAGGAGGCAGCGUGUACUCCUGGAUCGAAAGAUUUGGGUAACCCGCGAAUCUCCUUCGUGCUAGGGAUUGAGGUUUGCAAUUAUCCUUCAUGAACGAGGAAUUCCCAGUAAGUGCAAGUCAUAAGCUUGCGCUGACUACGUCCCUGCCCUUUGUACACACCGCCCGUCGCUACUACCGAUUGAAUGAUUUAGUGAGGACUUCGGACUGGGACCGAUGCGGCUUUCGGGCUGCGUCGGUAUUCUGGAAAGAUGUCCAAACUGUAUCAUUUAGAGGAGGUAAAAGUCGUANCA